CUUUAAUAUUAGUCACAUCUUAAAAUGAAAGAGGAAAUUGAAACAGGUUUUGUUUCCAUAAUUGUUUUUUAAAGCUAGCAUAUUAAAUCUUGGUGAAUUAUUUAGUAGGAAGGAUGACUCUGCACCUUUGAUUUGUGAAGAAGAUGUGGAAAAUAGACCAUACAUGGAAAUCUGUGAAUCCUAUGCUGGCAUCUGCAUAAAGGAUCAUUUUCUGGGCGGUAGGCAAAUGGGCCAUUGCUGGUGUUGAUUAAGAACAGUCUUAUGGUUAAAAAAAAAAAGAUAACAAAAAUCCUGUCCUCUAAACCAACAAGCAAGUGAC
RNAcentral lists this long non-coding RNA (319 nucleotides) under Zonotrichia albicollis (white-throated sparrow). RNAcentral describes it as "lncRNA (ENSZALG00000005718.1)". Lineage: Eukaryota; Metazoa; Chordata; Aves; Passeriformes; Passerellidae. The record is from RNAcentral.